GGCUUUUUGGGUAUGUGCUGAGAUUUCGUCAGACACCAGCCCAUCAGGACUGAUGAGACCCUCAGGAUAAGUGAAGCG
Molecule: non-coding RNA, 78 nt
Organism: Schistosoma curassoni
Lineage: Eukaryota; Metazoa; Platyhelminthes; Trematoda; Strigeidida; Schistosomatidae
Source: Rfam